UACGGGGGGGGCAAGCGUUGUUCGGAAUUACUGGGCGUAAAGGGCUCGUAGGUGGCCAACUAAGUCAGACGUGAAAUCCCACAGCUUAACUGUGGAACUGCUUGGUAUACUGCCAGUCUUGAGCCAGCUAGGGGCUACCGGAACAAAUGGUGGAGCGGUGAAAUGCGUAGAUAUCAUUUGGAACGCCAAUGGUGAAAACAGGUAGCUGGGGCUGUGCUGACGCUGAGACACGAAAGCCAGGGGAGCAAACGGG
RNAcentral lists this ribosomal RNA (253 nucleotides) under uncultured bacterium. RNAcentral describes it as "partial 16S ribosomal RNA". It matches the Rfam family "Bacterial small subunit ribosomal RNA", at positions 524 to 776 of the family's 1533-position model. The record is from RNAcentral.